GCCUCUUUUCUCGCAUCGGGAAUGGGAAAGUCUCGCCAGGGUCCUGCGUGUUGAAUUAUGGGGCGCCCCAGUGCUUGGAUGCCAGCCGGCUGUGGCUCCUCGGAGGAGAGGACAGCAGGGUGACCUUGGUUCAAAUCUUGGCAGUGACGCUCACUAAGAGACCUCGGGCAAAUUAGUCCGUGUCAUUCCCCUCUUAUGUAAAACGGAGAUAAUAAUAGCACUUGCUUCACAGGGCUGAUGGAGGGUCACGUAAAGUGAUUUGUGGUGGUGACUUUGAGAAUGCCUCCCCCACAGCGGGGCUCAGGGAAGACAGCUAACUGAACAAGGAUGAGGAGGAGGUGUCCAUCAUCUCAUCUGGGCAGCACCGCCUCCCCAUCUCCCCUGCAGUUCCCUCCCCACUCCCCCAUGCUCCUGUCUCCCUCCAUCCCCUUCCACCUCUCCUUCUCCCAGGUAACACGAGGGGGCAGAUCUCCAAUGUGGACAUCAGCCCAUGUCUCCUCCUCAUUAAACGUUCCUUAAUGACCUUCAUGGCCUUCGGGUGAAGUUCAGGGUCCUUGCCCUGGUGAGCAAGGUCCUAUAAGAUCUAGCCCUGCUCACCUCACUGCAACCUCACAGGGCCUUUCCCAUUUCUAAAUACACCAAGCUCAGUCCAGCCUCAGAGACUUUGUCCUUUGCCAGUCCCACUGCCUGGAACAGUCUUCCCCUCAGAUGUCACCGUGACUCCCUCAGUUCAUGUGGGCCUCUUCUCAAAUGUCAUCUCCUUGGAGAUGUCUUCCCUGAGCACCUAAUCUAAGCACAGAGUGGCAGCACAGACGGAUGAGGACACCAGCGCAUAGGAAGGAGCGAAUGCAGGAGGUAGCAAGGAGGCUCCAUCUUCGUUCCUAACGAGAGGAGAGACGAGGCAGCAGAAACCAGCCCAGAGCCUUGCUCCUGCUCCAAAACGUGUCUCAGCAGCGAAAAGGACAAAAGCUGGCUCCCCACCCGACCUGCCAGCCCCUGCUCCAGAAACUCAGGGGAGGCCCCCACCUGUCUCCAUCCUGUUGACUAGGUCAGGAAGAAAGUCUCCGGAGCUCCUUCACUGUUGGCGCCUCUCUGCUCGAGCUCAGACACGAAGCCUCGCCGGCAUCAGCGGGGCAGCGGCGAGCCGAGGGUGAGUAGCUGUCUGCUUUAUGCUGGUCUGCUCGUGCCGGUGACAUCGGUUUCCUAGUCGCAGCCCCAAACUACUUAAGCAUAGAAAUACAAAGUCCAGUUCAGAAAGACAUUAAGGAGCAGGAGAGGUGGCCCUGGGCCACUGCAGAAACGGUGCGAUUGUGCAUGCCUGCUGUUGGCGACGGCUGGUCUACACUGGCUGUUCUUCAAGGCAAGGACACUGAAUUGCCAUCUGGGUGCCCCCAGAGGCUGACUAAGCCCUGACCCCUAAAGAGACUCUCCAAAGAUUUGUUUGGAUUGGGUUAAGCCAGUAAUACCUGUCCAAAGGGUGUCCCUGGAAAAUGCACCACCCUGCCACGGGACCCCGGCCAAAAGACACAAUACAAUCGAGGUCUCCAUGUUGCCGUGUUUCUCUCCCCAUAGAGAAGGGAAGACUGCAUGCGAGGUGCCGCCCCCACCUCGAACAAGCUCACAGCCAGGUAGCAGGAUGAAGCUUCUUGUCCCGUCGUGCCCUGCUCCAGUCUGCCCAGCCAGGCGCAAGUGAGGGCUGUGGAGGCUGUCAGAAUAAAAAUGGAGUCACUGGUGGUACAGAAAAUAUCAAAAUCAAACAAACCCAAAUAUUGCAGGGACAGGCCACCAAGAGAGGGUUCUCACGCUUGCAUGCCUGAUAACAAAA
Molecule: non-coding RNA, 1825 nt
Organism: Microcebus murinus (gray mouse lemur)
Lineage: Eukaryota; Metazoa; Chordata; Mammalia; Primates; Cheirogaleidae
Source: RefSeq, a predicted model, not a curated record